AGCGAACGCUGGCGGCAGGCUUAACACAUGCAAGUCGAGCGGGCCUUUCGGGGUCAGCGGCGGACGGGUGAGUAACGCGUGGGAACGUGCCCUCUGGUUCGGAAUAACUCAGGGAAACUUGAGCUAAUACCGGAUACGCCCUUUUGGGGAAAGGCUUGCUGCCGGAGGAUCGGCCCGCGUCUGAUUAGCUAGUUGGUGAGGUAACGGCUCACCAAGGCGACGAUCAGUAGCUGGUCUGAGAGGAUGAUCAGCCACACUGGGACUGAGACACGGCCCAGACCCCUACGGGAGGCAGCAGUGGGGAAUAUUGGACAAUGGGCGCAAGCCUGAUCCAGCCAUGCCGCGUGAGUGAUGAAGGCCUUAGGGUUGUAAAGCUCUUUUAUCCGGGACGAUAAUGACGGUACCGGAGGAAUAAGCCCCGGCUAACUUCGUG
RNAcentral lists this ribosomal RNA (433 nucleotides) under uncultured bacterium. RNAcentral describes it as "partial 16S ribosomal RNA". It matches the Rfam family "Bacterial small subunit ribosomal RNA", at positions 29 to 507 of the family's 1533-position model. The record is from RNAcentral.